UCCCUCUCAGGGUUGCACCUGGAGAGUUUCCAGUACUCUACCACUAUUGACUAUGGGAGGGAGAGUCAAGCAGAGGCCUACGCAUUCCAUUCCUAGCUUGGCCAGUGGCUAGCAAGUGGAAGGCCAUCUGCUACCAGU
Ornithorhynchus anatinus (platypus) is the source of this 138-nucleotide small nucleolar RNA. NCBI's taxonomy places the organism in Eukaryota, Metazoa, Chordata, Mammalia, Monotremata, Ornithorhynchidae. The record is from RefSeq and is a predicted model, not a curated record.